This 497-nucleotide ribosomal RNA is filed under the name uncultured bacterium. Its description in RNAcentral is "partial 16S ribosomal RNA". It matches the Rfam family "Bacterial small subunit ribosomal RNA", at positions 28 to 507 of the family's 1533-position model. The record is from RNAcentral.
GAUGAACGCUGGCGGCGUGCCUAAUACAUGCAAGUCGAGCGAACAGACGAGGAGCUUGCUCCUCUGACGUUAGCGGCGGACGGGUGAGUAACACGUGGAUAACCUACCUCUAAGACUGGGAUAACUUCGGGAAACCGUAGCUAAUACCGGAUAAUAUAUUGACCCGCAUGGUUCAAUAGUGAAAGACGGUUUUGCUGUCACUUAUAGAUGGAUCAGCGCCGCAUUAGCUAGUUGGUAAGGUAACGGCUUACCAAGGCAACGAUGCUUAGCCGACCUGAAAGGGUGAUCGGCCACACUGGAACUGAGACACGGUCCAGACUCCGACGGGAGGCAGCAGUAGGGAAUCUUCCGCAAUGGGCGAAUGCCUGACGGAGCAACGCCGCGUGAGGGAUGAAGGUCUUCUGAUCGGAAAACUCUGUUAUUAGGGAAGAACAAAUGUGUAAGUAACUAUGCACAUCUUGACGGUACCGAAUCAGAAAGCCACGGCUAACUACGUG